GGGUCAUCAAAUAGCAACACCACCAUGGAUUUCUCUGCCACGAGCAGCAGUGCAGGGAAAAGUCAAUUCUCUGCUGCAGUUAGUGAAGUGAAUGAAGAGACAAAUCCAAACGGUCAAAUAUUGGAAGCACCAAACUUGAAGGAGUUCACCUUUGCUGAUUUGAAGAGUGCCACAAAGAAUUUCAGACCAGACACUUUGUUGGGUGAAGGUGGUU
RNAcentral lists this unclassified non-coding RNA (214 nucleotides) under Hevea brasiliensis (rubber tree). The record is from RNAcentral. Lineage: Eukaryota; Viridiplantae; Streptophyta; Magnoliopsida; Malpighiales; Euphorbiaceae.